ACUCCUACGGGAGGCAGCAGUGGGGAAUUUUGCGCAAUGGGCGAAAGCCUGACGCAGCAACGCCGCGUGAGUGAUGAAGGCUUUCGGGUCGUAAAGCUCUGUCAAUGGGAAAGAAGUGUAUUGCAGCUAAUAUCUGCGAUACUUGACGGUACCCAUAAAGGAAGCACCGGCUAACUCCGUGCCAGCAGCCGCGGUAAUACGGGGGGUGCAAGCGUUGUUCGGAAUUAUUGGGCGUAAAGCGCGUGUAGGCGGUUUGUUAAGUCUGUUGUGAAAGCCCUGGGCUCAACCCAGGAAGUGCACUGGAUACUGGCAGACUUGAAUACGGGAGAGGGUAGUGGAAUUCCUGGUGUAGGAGUGAAAUCCGUAGAUAUCAGGAGGAACACCGGUGGCGAAGGCGGCUACCUGGACCGAUAUUGACGCUGAGACGCGAAAGCGUGGGUAGCAAACAGGAUUAGAUACCCUGGUAGUCCACGCCGUAAACGAUGAGAACUAGGUGUUGCGGGUA
RNAcentral lists this ribosomal RNA (505 nucleotides) under uncultured Geobacter sp. RNAcentral describes it as "bacterial SSU rRNA". It matches the Rfam family "Bacterial small subunit ribosomal RNA", at positions 335 to 831 of the family's 1533-position model. Lineage: Bacteria; Pseudomonadati; Thermodesulfobacteriota; Desulfuromonadia; Geobacterales; Geobacteraceae. The record is from RNAcentral.